Cottoperca gobio is the source of this 325-nucleotide long non-coding RNA. RefSeq lists it as uncharacterized. The record is from RefSeq and is a predicted model, not a curated record. The transcript has 3 exons. Lineage: Eukaryota; Metazoa; Chordata; Actinopteri; Perciformes; Bovichtidae.
GCCGCCGGGGGGCGCUGUCAGCUGACACACACACAAACAACAGGAAGCUUGAUCAGCUUUUGGCAACAGAUCCGUUUAACUCGGAGCUGAUUUUUUUAUUAUUUUGUGUUUAACGUUAAACUGCGAUGGCCGGCACCGCACUGAAGAGACUCAUGGCGGAGUAUAAACAGUUGACCCUGAACCCACCUGAGGGCAUCGUUGCAGGUCCGGCCAACGAGGAGAACUUCUUUGAGUGGGAGGCGCUGAUCAUGUGAGUAAAUGAUAAGUGAUCAUACUGCUUAUUAACACGCCGGCUCAAUAACUCAAGGUUUUUAUUUACAAGAUG